GCAUUUGCUUCAGCAGUACAUAUACUAAAAUUGGAGCAAUACAGAGAGGAUAGCAUGGUUCCUGUGCAAAGAUAGACAUGCAAGUUCAUAACGUGUUCCAUAUUUUU
This is a non-coding RNA of Canis lupus familiaris (dog), 107 nucleotides long. NCBI's taxonomy places the organism in Eukaryota, Metazoa, Chordata, Mammalia, Carnivora, Canidae. The record is from Rfam.